GGAGAGAUGUCCGAGAGGCCGAAGGAGCACGCUUGGAAAGUGUGUGUACCCUAACCGGGUACCGAGGGUUCGAAUCCCUCUCUCUCCG
RNAcentral lists this transfer RNA (88 nucleotides) under Spirochaetales bacterium. RNAcentral's name for it is "tRNA-Ser". It matches the Rfam family "tRNA". From Rfam's summary of the family: Transfer RNA (tRNA) molecules are approximately 80 nucleotides in length. Their secondary structure includes four short double-helical elements and three loops (D, anti-codon, and T loops). Further hydrogen bonds mediate the characteristic L-shaped molecular structure. tRNAs have two regions of fundamental functional importance: the anti-codon, which is responsible for specific mRNA codon recognition, and the 3' end, to which the tRNAs corresponding amino acid is attached (by aminoacyl-tRNA synthetases). tRNAs cope with the degeneracy of the genetic code in two manners: having more than one tRNA (with a specific anti-codon) for a particular amino acid; and 'wobble' base-pairing, i.e. permitting non-standard base-pairing at the 3rd anti-codon position. RNAcentral also lists the same sequence under 1 other name. Lineage: Bacteria; Pseudomonadati; Spirochaetota; Spirochaetia; Spirochaetales. The record is from RNAcentral.